This 413-nucleotide ribosomal RNA is filed under the name uncultured Sodalis sp. Its description in RNAcentral is "bacterial SSU rRNA". It matches the Rfam family "Bacterial small subunit ribosomal RNA", at positions 393 to 798 of the family's 1533-position model. Lineage: Bacteria; Pseudomonadati; Pseudomonadota; Gammaproteobacteria; Enterobacterales; Bruguierivoracaceae. The record is from RNAcentral.
CAUGCCGCGUGUGUGAAGAAGGCCUUCGGGUUGUAAAGCACUUUCAGCGGGGAGGAAGGGGAUGGGAUUAAUAAUUUCAUUCAUUGACGUUACCCGCAGAAGAAGCMCCGGCUAACUCCGUGCCAGCAGCCGCGGUAAUACGGAGGGUGCGAGCGUUAAUYGGAAUUACUGGGCGUAAAGCGUACGCAGGCGGUCUGUUAAGUCAGAUGUGAAAUCCCCGGGCUUAACCCGGGAACUGCAUUUGAAACUGGCAGGCUAGAGUCUCGUARAGGGGGGUAGAAUUCCAGGUGUAGCGGUGAAAUGCGUAGAGAUYUGGAGGAAUACCGGUGGCGAAGGCGGCCCCCUGGACSAAGACUGACGCUCAGGUACGAAAGCGUGGGGAGCAAACAGGAUUAGAUACCCUGGUAGUCCAC